Molecule: ribosomal RNA, 281 nt
Filed under: Escherichia coli
Lineage: Bacteria; Pseudomonadati; Pseudomonadota; Gammaproteobacteria; Enterobacterales; Enterobacteriaceae
Description: partial 16S ribosomal RNA
Rfam family: Bacterial small subunit ribosomal RNA
Source: RNAcentral
AAAUUGAAGAGUUUGAUCAUGGCUCAGAUUGAACGCUGGCGGCAGGCCUAACACAUGCAAGUCGAACGGUAACAGGAAUCAGCUUGCUGAUUUGCUGACGAGUGGCGGACGGGUGAGUAAUGUCUGGGAAGCUGCCUGAUGGAGGGGGAUAACUACUGGAAACGGUAGCUAAUACCGCAUAACGUCGCAAGACCAAAGAGGGGGACCUUCGGGCCUCUUGCCAUCGGAUGUGCCCAGAUGGGAUUAGCUAGUAGGUGGGGUAACGGCUCACCUAGGCGACG